AUACGUAGGUGACAAGCGUUAUCCGGAUUUACUGGGUGUAAAGGGCGUGUAGGCGGUUUAGCAAGUCAGAAGUGAAAUUCCCGGGCUUAACGUGGGCGCUGCUUCUGAAACUGCUUUACUUGAGUGCUGGAGAGGAUAGUGGAAUUCCUAGUGUAGCGGUAAAAUGCGCAGAUAUUAGGAGGAACACCGGUGGCGAAGGCGGCUAUCUGGACAGUAACUGACGCUGAGGCGCGAAAGCACGGGGAGCAAACAGGAUUAGAUACCCUGGUAGUCCGUGCCGUAAACGAUGAAUACUAGGUGUAGGGGGUAUCGACUCCCUCUGUGCCGCAGUUAACACAUUAAGUAUUCCACCUGGGGAGUACGGCCGCAAGGUUGAAACUCAAAUGAAUUGACGGGG
RNAcentral lists this ribosomal RNA (397 nucleotides) under uncultured bacterium. Its description in RNAcentral is "partial 16S ribosomal RNA". It matches the Rfam family "Bacterial small subunit ribosomal RNA", at positions 523 to 918 of the family's 1533-position model. The record is from RNAcentral.